CCGUCUUUCACGCCAUCCAAGAAUCAGCCACGACCGCCAGCCCAAAGUCCCCAAAGUCGUGGGAGCCCUUCUCUCCCCAUCAGGAUAGACGGCGCUGAGCAGCCCCCGGGGGCUGUGACCACGCUCGCUGCAUUUGACUUCUGCUGUGCUGGCUGUCAUUACGUUUUUUUCUUCCUCCGCUGAAGUUUCUAUCAUUAUCCAAUCCCACAGCCACAGAAGCAUCAGAAUUUUAAUAGACUCGGGCCCCAGAGCCUGAUAGCAAAACAUUAUGAUACACGGCUGCAGAUGGAAAGUGCUGGGUCUUUACAUUUCAACGGGAGCAGUGUGGAUUUCACACCCUUCCAUGGGGCCUCAGGGCCCCGCAGGGCGAUUGGAAAGCCUCCCGUGGUGGGAGGCCCAUUGCAUUGGCCCUGUCUUGCUGUCCCUGGCCCUGUCCCAAAGUUAUGCCACGGGCUGGAUACCAGAGCUUUAGAAAAAAACAUCAGGGAAGAUUUUGACCACCCCUAACGGUUUCCGGACGUCCGUCCUACUAGAGCUUUGCGCUUGCGACUGUGUUUAUUCUCUCCCUCCACACAUUCCCCUUCCCAUGCACUUUCCUUCACCUUACCAGCUGACCGGGUCCCUCUUUCUCACGGCUCUCCUCUGCCCACCCCACCGAGCUGCUUUCUCUGCGCCCCCUGCUCUGAUAGCAAGUGCAUGUGACGGGGCUGCGAGCACAGACCCUUGGCUUCAGGCCAACCCACAUGCAGUUUCCGCCUCUGUCUCUUACCGGCCUUUUGCCUUUGGGCAGUUCCUCAACCUCUCUCAGCCUGAUUUCCUCAGCACAGCGAGGGGGAGGCGAUGCUUAGCUCACAGAGCUGGGGGUGACUGCCAAGAACCUCUGCCUUCCUGCCCUUGGCCCCCACCUCCUUCCCCCUCCCCUGUCACCCCGUCAUGGUCAGCCCCCUCACUCCUCGGAGUCUUUCUCCAUCCAGCCCCAAGAGGGAGGAAGAAGAUCCAGAGGCCAGCUCAGGACACAAGCUGCGUCAGCUUUAUGAGUAAUAAGUCUCCUCAGGGUUGA
RNAcentral lists this long non-coding RNA (1060 nucleotides) under Felis catus (domestic cat). RNAcentral's name for it is "lncRNA (ENSFCAG00000050492.1)". The record is from RNAcentral. Lineage: Eukaryota; Metazoa; Chordata; Mammalia; Carnivora; Felidae.